CCAGCAUUGGCUGAAGAAAAAUUACAGUUUAAUCUCUAGCACUUGUCAUAACACUGUGCUUCUUUGAUAUUUGCAUGCAUGAAAACUUUCUGCACAAAAAGACUUCUUUGAUCUGAUGAUCCAGAAUGCCAUGUCUUCAGUCAGCAAGAGCAGCACUGGUUGAGAAAAGCAGUAUGAUCAGCCAUCUGACCCUCCACAUUCAAGGCAGAAACCUGUCAUUUUUCUGAGAUAUCUGGGCAAUGCCUGGCCCUCAGGAGGCACAGCACCCUGUGCUGACUCACAUGAUUAGAGUUCAACAUGUUUUAGCGGUGCUCCAAAUAAGAUUUGGUGUGCUGCUGAUUAUCCUGUGGAUAAUUAUUUUCUCCAGUGUGGCUCAUUAUGAUCUUUCUGUAGUACAAUUCCACCUGCAUGGCCCUACUUCUACCUUUUCGUACCAGUCAUUUAUGUCAUUUCUGGAAUUCUGAUGGUUGUGCCUGAAAAGAAAAGAGAAAGCAAUGUGAAUUUUUCCUGCCAAGGAAUGAAUAUUUUGAACACUGUGUUUACAGGAACCUUAACAGUAAUGCAUGGCUUAGACUCAUUUGCAACAAUAGAGAUGUCAGACGUAUUGGUUGGAGAUAUAAUAUCUUUUGUUGGCAGGUGAUAUGAGCACAGAUACACCAUACCUGCCCCACAUCAAGACUGAAGAAGUGGCUCUCCGAGCUACUUCAGUGGUUUGAUAGAACAUCUGUGUGACAUUCCUGGUCUUUUUGCAAUGCUUCCCACAAUACAUCAGUGUCUCUAUAAUAAAGAGGACCUUAAAUAUU
This is a long non-coding RNA of Heterocephalus glaber (naked mole-rat), 803 nucleotides long. RefSeq lists it as uncharacterized. The record is from RefSeq and is a predicted model, not a curated record. NCBI's taxonomy places the organism in Eukaryota, Metazoa, Chordata, Mammalia, Rodentia, Bathyergidae.